RNAcentral lists this long non-coding RNA (721 nucleotides) under Phoenix dactylifera (date palm). RNAcentral's name for it is "long non-coding RNA (PDAC_LNC018733)". The record is from RNAcentral. Lineage: Eukaryota; Viridiplantae; Streptophyta; Magnoliopsida; Arecales; Arecaceae.
GCGAAAAUUCUAGUCUCAGUGAAAAUCUUGUGCAAGGAUGGCUUACAUGCUCUACCUUUAUGAGAUUUUGCAAGAAACUCAGCUGACCAGACAAUUGCUUAGAGAAAUGAAAUCAAAUUCGAGGAUAUAUUUUACAUGCAAAGGCAAUACUUUUUCAUUUUCUUCCCUCGUGUAUCUUGUUAGGUUUAUCCAUCCUUGACCUAAAACAUUUUACCUUGUAGUAUAUUAUGGUUACUUUUUUACCUGAAAACUUUUAAGCAUAGAUUACAAAUGGUUUAAUUUAAACAUUUAAGAUUUUUCUUCUGUAUGAAUGUAUUUUUUAAUUAAUUUUAUAGUUUUGUUACUCCUUACCUACUCUCUGAGCACUUUCUCUUAUAAUUUUCUUUAGAGAGAUCUGCUCCAAAAUCUGCUUCUAUGCUCAUUCUCGCUUCAAGUAGUUAAGUUUCUUUGAACCAGCUAAUAUUCAAAAUCAUAUUAUUAUAUUAGGUCAAGAUAACUAAGUUAAGGGGAUGUGUUGAAGAUUUUGAAAUGACAUAUAGAAAGGCUUUUGCAAAGGAAGGAUCUGGCAUGGUUGACUUGGGGGGGGGGGGGUUGUUUGUUGAAAUAUGUGAUUGGUAGGAAGUUCUUGAUAGUAUAACAAUUCAUAGAUGAUUUAUCUCGAGAUUUAGACCAGAGGCAAUGUGCUUUUAGGGAAUGAAAGUCGAGGAUGAAAAUGUUUAUG